GCGAAUCGCCCUUCGGGGUGCAGCAGGCGCGAAAACUCUACAAUGCAGGCAACUGCGAUAGGGGGACAUCGAGUGGCAUCCACCCUGGGUGCCUGUCCCACCGUCUAAAAAACGGUGGUUAGCAAGGGCCGGGCAAGACCGGUGCCAGCCGCCGCGGUAAUACCGGCGGCUCGAGUGGUGGCCGAUAUUAUUGAGUCUAAAGGGUCCGUAGCCGGCUUUGCAAGUCCCCUGGGAAAUCCAGCGGCUUAACCGUUGGGCUUUCAUGGGAUACUACAUUGCUUGGGACUGGGAGAGGUAGGAGGUACUCGGGGGGUAGGGGUGAAAUCCUGUAAUCCCCCGGGGACCACCGGUGGCGAAGGCGUCCUACCAGAACAGGUCCGACGGUGAGGGACGAAAGCUAGGGGCACGAACCGGAUUAGAUACCCGGGUAGUCCUAGCCGUAAACGAUGCCCGCUAGGUGUCACGGCGGUCGUGAAUCGCCGUGGUGCCGUAGGGAAGCCGCGAAGCGGGCCACUUGGGAAGUACGGCCGCAAGGCUGAAACUUAAAGGAAUUGGCGGGGGAGCAC
This 566-nucleotide ribosomal RNA is filed under the name uncultured archaeon. Its description in RNAcentral is "bacterial SSU rRNA". It matches the Rfam family "Archaeal small subunit ribosomal RNA", at positions 313 to 879 of the family's 1478-position model. The record is from RNAcentral.